This 253-nucleotide ribosomal RNA is filed under the name uncultured bacterium. RNAcentral's name for it is "partial 16S ribosomal RNA". It matches the Rfam family "Bacterial small subunit ribosomal RNA", at positions 524 to 776 of the family's 1533-position model. The record is from RNAcentral.
UACAGAGGGGGCAAGCGUUAUUCGGAAUUAUUGGGCGUAAAGGGCGCGUAGGCGGCUUGGCAAGUGAAUGGUGAAAUCCCUCGGCUUAACCGAGGAACUGCCGUCCAAACUGCUUCGCUUGAGACCGGGAGAGGUGAGUGGAAUUCCCAGUGUAGCGGUGAAAUGCGUAGAUAUUGGGAGGAACACCAGUGGCGAAGGCGGCUCACUGGACCGGUACUGACGCUGAUGCGCGAAAGCGUGGGGAGCAAACGGG